AAGAAGGUGACAGAGCGGCUAUGUGACUGGCUUGAAACCAGUUUAUGGGGGUUCAACUCCCUCCUUUCUCG
This 71-nucleotide transfer RNA is filed under the name Sphyraena japonica (Japanese barracuda). RNAcentral's name for it is "tRNA-Ser". It matches the Rfam family "tRNA". Rfam says of the family: Transfer RNA (tRNA) molecules are approximately 80 nucleotides in length. Their secondary structure includes four short double-helical elements and three loops (D, anti-codon, and T loops). Lineage: Eukaryota; Metazoa; Chordata; Actinopteri; Sphyraenidae. The record is from RNAcentral.